RNAcentral lists this transfer RNA (66 nucleotides) under Peltoperlopsis cebuano. Its description in RNAcentral is "tRNA-Leu". It matches the Rfam family "tRNA". Rfam says of the family: Transfer RNA (tRNA) molecules are approximately 80 nucleotides in length. Their secondary structure includes four short double-helical elements and three loops (D, anti-codon, and T loops). Lineage: Eukaryota; Metazoa; Arthropoda; Insecta; Plecoptera; Peltoperlidae. The record is from RNAcentral.
UCUAAUAUGGCAGAAAAGUGCAAUGGAUUUAAGCUCCAUACAUAAAGGAUCAACCUUUUAUUAGAA